This 636-nucleotide ribosomal RNA is filed under the name Arthrobacter sp. So3Ps_1868. RNAcentral's name for it is "bacterial SSU rRNA". It matches the Rfam family "Bacterial small subunit ribosomal RNA", at positions 382 to 1029 of the family's 1533-position model. Lineage: Bacteria; Bacillati; Actinomycetota; Actinomycetes; Micrococcales; Micrococcaceae. The record is from RNAcentral.
CCUGAUGCAGCGACGCCGCGUGAGGGAUGACGGCCUUCGGGUUGUAAACCUCUUUCAGUAGGGAAGAAGCGAAAGUGACGGUACCUGCAGAAGAAGCGCCGGCUAACUACGUGCCAGCAGCCGCGGUAAUACGUAGGGCGCAAGCGUUAUCCGGAAUUAUUGGGCGUAAAGAGCUCGUAGGCGGUUUGUCGCGUCUGCCGUGAAAGUCCGGGGCUCAACUCCGGAUCUGCGGUGGGUACGGGCAGACUAGAGUGAUGUAGGGGAGACUGGAAUUCCUGGUGUAGCGGUGAAAUGCGCAGAUAUCAGGAGGAACACCGAUGGCGAAGGCAGGUCUCUGGGCAUUAACUGACGCUGAGGAGCGAAAGCAUGGGGAGCGAACAGGAUUAGAUACCCUGGUAGUCCAUGCCGUAAACGUUGGGCACUAGGUGUGGGGGACAUUCCACGUUUUCCGCGCCGUAGCUAACGCAUUAAGUGCCCCGCCUGGGGAGUACGGCCGCAAGGCUAAAACUCAAAGGAAUUGACGGGGGCCCGCACAAGCGGCGGAGCAUGCGGAUUAAUUCGAUGCAACGCGAAGAACCUUACCAAGGCUUGACAUGAACCGGAAAGACCUGGAAACAGGUCCCCCGCUUGCGGUCG